GACCUGACCGCUAUCGGGGUGGGGCUAAGCCAUGCGAGUCGCGCGCCCGGGGGCCCGGGCGCGGCGCACGGCUCAGUAACACGUGCCCAACCUAACCUCGGGAGGGGGACAACCCCGGGAAACUGGGGCUGAUCCCCCAUAGGGGAAGGCCGCUGGAAGGCCCCUUCCUCUAAAGGGAUCUCGGGCGAUCUCCCGAGGUCCGCCCGAGGGUGGGGGCACGGCCUAUCAGGUAGUUGGCGGGGUAACGGCCCGCCAAGCCGAAGACGGGUAGGGGCGGUGAGAGCCGUGAGCCCCGAGAUGGGCACUGAGACAAGGGCCCAGGCCCUACGGGGUGCAGCAGGCGCGAAUACUCCGCAAUGCGGGCAACCGCGACGGGGCCACCCCGAGUGCCGGGCGAAGAGCCCGGCUUUUGCCCGGUAUAAGGAGCCGGGCGAAUAAGCGGGGGGUAAGUCUGGUGUCAGCCGCCGCGGUAAUACCAGCCCCGCGAGUGGUCAGGGUGAUUACUGGGCUUAAAGCGCCCGUAGCCGGCCCGGCAAGUCGCUCCUGAAAUCCCCGGGCUCAACCCGGGGGCGGGGGGCGAUACUGCCGGGCUAGGGGGCGGGAGAGGCCGCCGGUACUCCGGGGGUAGGGGCGAAAUCCUAUAAUCCCCGGAGGACCACCAGUGGCGAAAGCGGGCGGCCAGAACGCGCCCGACGGUGAGGGGCGAAAGCCGGGGGAGCAAAGGGGAUUAGAUACCCCUGUAGUCCCGGCCGUAAACGAUGCGGGCUAGCUGUCGGCCGGGCUUAGGGCCCGGCCGGUGGCGUAGGGAAACCGUUAAGCCCGCCGCCUGGGGAGUACGGCCGCAAGRCUGAAACUUAAAGGAAUUGGCGGGGGGGCACCACAAGGGGUGAAGCUUGCGGCUUAAUUGGAGUCAACGCCGGAAACCUUACCCGGGGCGACAGCAGGAUGAAGGCCAGGCUAACGACCUUGCCGGACGAGCUGAGAGGAGGUGCAUGGCCGUCGUCAGCUCGUGCCGUGAGGUGUCCGGUUAAGUCCGGCAACGAGCGAGACCCCCACCCCUAGUUGCUUCCCCGCUCUUCGGGGCGGGGGGCACACUAGGGGGACUGCCGGCGUAAGCCGGAGGAAGGAGGGGGCCACGGCAGGUCAGUAUAGGGGCCUAUCCGCAAGGAGGGCCCCGCUGAGGCCCCGAAAGCCGUGGCCCCCCAGGUAGGGGUGUUUAAAAAUGAGAGGAGGGAGGAAGAACAUGAAGGUGUGGGAUUAUCUCUGCGGCUUGAUAGCAGCAGACGGCCACCUUGACGAAGAGGGGUAUAUCACUAUAUCGCAAAAAGAUAGGAGAUUUAUCGACAAAAUCGUCGCGUUGUUAAAAUCGGCGGAGAUCAAGAUCUCAUCGUUGUUUUACGACAAGGGCGCUGGCGUCUGGAAGAUCAAGAUCAAAGACGAGCGCCUUUAUCGCUAUUUAGUCAACAACGGCGUUAUCCCAGGGAAGAAGGCCCAUGUGUUGAGACCGCCGAGCUCCGCUGUUGAUCCGUUGUGGUAUAUAAUCGGCUUUAUCGACGGAGACGGCUGGGUAGAGCAGGUGGUGAAGAGGGCCGGAGAUAAAAGCUAUUACUACAUCCGCAUCGGGAUAAAAACUAAGAGCAAAGAGCUAAGAGAUUGGAUAGCGCAGACGCUAAACGAUCUAGGGAUAAGAGCCAGCAGAGCCGAUAAAAGCGACGGGUACGAGGUGCAUAUUGACGGCGUAGAGGCCUGGCGCCUCGUCCCGCACCUCCAGAACCCGACGCAUCUAGAAAGGGCACAGUCGGUCAAGGACAAUAGGCUCUCCCUCCUCUUUUGACCUUCCUCUUUCUCGACGCCCUACCUGGGGGCCGCGGCCGGGAGACCCCGGGGCUGCACGCGAGCUGCAAUGGCGGGGACAGCGGGAUCCGACCCCGAAAGGGGGAGGCAAUCCCGUGGAAUCCCUAGUAACCGCGUGUCACCAACGCGCGGUGAAUACGUCCCUGCCCCUUGCACACACCGCCCGUCGCACCACCCGAGGGGGUUCUCUGCGAGGCCCCUCGCUUGGGGCAACCCAGGUGGGGGGACGAGCAGAGAACCCCCGAGGGGGGUGAA
RNAcentral lists this ribosomal RNA (2109 nucleotides) under Thermoproteus sp. IC-062. RNAcentral's name for it is "16S ribosomal RNA". The stretch from base 1 to 1385 matches the Rfam family "Archaeal small subunit ribosomal RNA". Lineage: Archaea; Thermoproteati; Thermoproteota; Thermoprotei; Thermoproteales; Thermoproteaceae. The record is from RNAcentral.